CCUACGGGGGGCUGCAGUGGGGAAUAUUGGACAAUGGGCGAAAGCCUGAUCCAGCCAUGCCGCGUGUGUGAAGAAGGCCUUCGGGUUGUAAAGCACUUUCAGUGGGGAAGAAAGCCUUGGGGCUAAUACCCUCGAGGAAGGACAUCACCCACAGAAGAAGCACCGGCUAACUCCGUGCCAGCAGCCGCGGUAAUACGGAGGGUGCGAGCGUUAAUCGGAAUUACUGGGCGUAAAGCGCGCGUAGGCGGUCUGAUAAGCCGGUUGUGAAAGCCCCGGGCUCAACCUGGGAACGGCAUCCGGAACUGUCAGGCUAGAGUGCAGGAGAGGAAGGUAGAAUUCCCGGUGGAGCGGUGAAAUGCGUAGAGAUCGGGAGGAAUACCAGUGGCGAAGGCGGCCUUCUGGACUGACACUGACGCUGAGGUGCGAAAGCGUGGGUAGCAAACAGGAUUAGAUACCCCUGUAGUC
Molecule: ribosomal RNA, 465 nt
Filed under: Vreelandella stevensii
Lineage: Bacteria; Pseudomonadati; Pseudomonadota; Gammaproteobacteria; Oceanospirillales; Halomonadaceae
Description: partial 16S ribosomal RNA
Rfam family: Bacterial small subunit ribosomal RNA
Source: RNAcentral